This 349-nucleotide unclassified non-coding RNA is filed under the name soil metagenome. RNAcentral describes it as "partial contains 5.8S ribosomal RNA, internal transcribed spacer 2, and large subunit ribosomal RNA". The stretch from base 1 to 120 matches the Rfam family "5.8S ribosomal RNA", at positions 35 to 154 of the family's 154-position model. The record is from RNAcentral.
GAUGAAGAACGCAGCGAAAUGCGAUAAGUAAUGUGAAUUGCAGAAUUCAGUGAAUCAUCGAGUCUUUGAACGCACAUUGCGCCCCCUGGUAUUCCGGGGGGCAUGCCUGUCCGAGCGUCAUUGCCGCCCUCAAGCACGGCUUGUGUGUUGGGCUCUCGCCCCCCGCUUCCGGGGGGCGGGCCCGAAAGGCAGCGGCGGCACCGCGUCCGGUCCUCGAGCGUAUGGGGCUUCGUCACCCGCUCUGUAGGCCCGGCCGGCGCCCGCCGGCGAACACCAUCAAUCUUAACCAGGUUGACCUCGGAUCAGGUAGGGAUACCCGCUGAACUUAAGCAUAUCAAUAAGCGGAGGA